CCUACGGGUGGCAGCAGUGAGGAAUAUUGGUCAAUGGACGAAAGUCUGAACCAGCCAAAUAGCGUGAAGGAUGACUGCGCUAUGGGUUGUAAACUUCUUUUAUAUGGGACUAAAAUCUUCCCCGUGUGCGAGUUUGUAGGUACCUUAUGAAUAAGGAUCGGCUAACUCCGUGCCAGCAGCCGCGGUAAUACGGAGGAUCCGAGCGUUAUCCGGAUUUAUUGGGUUUAAAGGGAGCGUAGGUGGAUUGUUAAGUCAGUUGUGAAAGUUUGCGGCUCAACCGUAAAAUUGCAGUUGAAACUGGCAGUCUUGAGCAGAGGAGAGGUGUGCGGAAUUCGUGGUGUAGCGGUGAAAUGCUUAGAUAUCACGAAGAACUCCGAUUGCGAAGGCAGCUCACUGGACUGCAACUGACACUGAGGCUCGAAAGUGUGGGUAUCAAACAGGAUUAGAUACCCCAGUAGUC
Molecule: ribosomal RNA, 460 nt
Filed under: uncultured bacterium
Lineage: Bacteria
Description: partial 16S ribosomal RNA
Rfam family: Bacterial small subunit ribosomal RNA
Source: RNAcentral